GCUGGAUGCGGUGGCACUGCCUGUAGUCCCAGCUACUCGGGAGGCUGAGGCUGAAGGAUCACUUGAGCCCAGGAGUUCUGGGCUAUAGUGGGCUAUGCUGAGUGGGUGUCCGCACUAAGUUCAGCAUCAAUAUGGUGACCUCCCAGGAGCAGGGGACCACCAGGUUGCCUAAGGAGGGGUAAACUGGCCCAGGUCGGAGACAGAGCAGGUCAAAACUCCUGUGCUGAUCAGUAGCGGGAUCGCGCCUGUGAAUAGCCACUGCACUCCAGCCUGGGCAACACAGUGAGACUCUGUCUCUA
Callithrix jacchus (white-tufted-ear marmoset) is the source of this 299-nucleotide unclassified non-coding RNA. It matches the Rfam family "Metazoan signal recognition particle RNA". Rfam says of the family: The signal recognition particle (SRP) is a universally conserved ribonucleoprotein. It is involved in the co-translational targeting of proteins to membranes. The eukaryotic SRP consists of a 300-nucleotide 7S RNA and six proteins: SRPs 72, 68, 54, 19, 14, and 9. The record is from Ensembl. Lineage: Eukaryota; Metazoa; Chordata; Mammalia; Primates; Cebidae.